UGGAAAGUAAUAUUUUAAAUGAUGAUGUCAACAACUCUCAAGCAGAACCCAAAGGAGGUAAAACAAGUAACAAAUGAAGUAUCCUUGAAACGAAUGAAUGGAUCUUGUAUAUGAAUACAUCAAAAAACAUGAAUGUGUAUAAUCUACAUGGGGAAAAUCAGGAUAACGUCAUAAUACUGUACCUCUUUCCUUAUAAGCAAAUCCAAGAUUACUCAUUAGACGGGAAAUCUCAUUCUUUUCAUUUUAAUAAUGUUUUAAGUUAAAUAAUUCUAAAUUUUUGUUAUUAAAAUUGUUCUUAAUGAAAAAACGCACGUAAAGAAAUCUUCUAUAGUGUUUAUA
Centruroides sculpturatus (bark scorpion) is the source of this 339-nucleotide long non-coding RNA. RefSeq lists it as uncharacterized. The record is from RefSeq and is a predicted model, not a curated record. The transcript has 3 exons. Lineage: Eukaryota; Metazoa; Arthropoda; Arachnida; Scorpiones; Buthidae.